GUAGGUGAACCUGCGGAAGGAUCAUUAACACGUAUCCAACGUUAAAAACCCCCCCCGUGAACCUACAACAUACGUCUCCGCUAACGAUACCCAUGGUUGCAAUCCCUGGUAAAUCAUUGCCGAACAGUUUUGAUUCAGGGACAUCAAGCACGUUAGUGUCCUGAUAAAAGAGGCGCUGCAACAGACGGGUUCCACGACCCCAAGGAGUCAAAAGCUGUCAGCGAGUGGCAAGUGAGGGAGUCAGUCGUGUGUUUGGACGGGUAGACCAUCCCAGGUGGGUCACUGUGGCCGACACGGCCGUGAUGGGAUUCUGGCGUCGUGCCUAUAGGUACGAACUAGCGCCCGACAUGACCUCUUGAAACGACAGGGGCGCAACCGGACCAAUUUUUUAAUCUGCCCCUUACCCUAACAGGUACUCGGGUGUCUAAACGAACAACUGUUAACAAUGGAUAUCUUGGUUCUC
Molecule: unclassified non-coding RNA, 463 nt
Filed under: rhizosphere metagenome
Description: partial ribosomal RNA internal transcribed spacer region
Source: RNAcentral